Molecule: long non-coding RNA, 400 nt
Filed under: Helianthus annuus (common sunflower)
Lineage: Eukaryota; Viridiplantae; Streptophyta; Magnoliopsida; Asterales; Asteraceae
Description: hypothetical non coding rna
Source: RNAcentral
AUGUGAAGAAAGAAGGGAGUAACACAAUAAUGAGAGGACGAUAAUUUGAAUGAUGCUUUCUCUAUGUAGUUGAGGAGGGUGAAAGUCAAGGUCAUCUGCCGUCCUUCAAUAGUAGGUGUUUUCUAGGGUUUAAUCGAUCAGUAUGGUAACAACAAAUAUCAACUAGAAGGUUGGAUACAAAUUGCAGCCGAUGUAAAAUUUAAUUGAUUUUGAAGCCUUCGUUCUGAGAAAUUGAAGCUUUCUUUAUGGGUGAAGCCUUCGCUCAGGAGAAACUGUAAUAACUUUUGUUUUUGCUUUUGCUUCUCUAUUGCUACUUUCUUUUGAUGUCUCUCUCUUAAUCACACAAGAAUUCAUAGCUUUUAUGUCCAUGGAGUACGAAUAUGUUCUGUUUUCUUACUGA